RNAcentral lists this ribosomal RNA (420 nucleotides) under bacterium. RNAcentral's name for it is "partial 16S ribosomal RNA". It matches the Rfam family "Bacterial small subunit ribosomal RNA", at positions 355 to 776 of the family's 1533-position model. The record is from RNAcentral.
UGGGGGAUAUUGCACAAUGGGCGAAAGCCUGAUGCAGCGACGCCGCGUGGGGGAUGAAGGCUUUCGGGUUGUAAACCUCUUUCGCUAUCGAACAAGGCCCGCUUAGGGUGGGUUGAGGGUAGGUGGAGAAGAAGCGCCGGCUAACUACGUGCCAGCAGCCGCGGUAAUCCGUAGGGCGCGAGCGUUGUCCGGAAUUAUUGGGCGUAUAGGGCUUGUAGGCGGCUUGUUGCGCCUGCUGUGAAAACGCGGGGCUUAACUUCGCGCGUGCAGUGGGUACGGGCAGGCUUGAGUGUGGUAGGGGUGACUGGAAUUCCAGGUGUAGCGGUGGAAUGCGCAGAUAUCUGGAAGAACACCGAUGGCGAAGGCAGGUCACUGGGCCAUUACUGACGCUGAGGAGCGAAAGCAUGGGUAGCGAACAGG